GGGAUGAAUUGGCUUUCAGAUGAGGUGAUUGACAGUUACCUUCACAUCCUUGCAGAAGAACAGAAGGACCACAUAUUUGUGCUGUCUUCGGUUGUGUCAACAUCUCUGUUUAAUGGACAGUUUAGAUGUGUGAGGAAGAUGAUCAUCCCAAACAGGGAUUUGUGGCUGUGUCCAUACAACACAGGAGGGCAUUGGAUUCUUGUGGUCUGUAAAUCUAACAAUAUUCAUAUAUUUAACAAUAUUCCACAUAAAUAUGCAACUAAAACAGAUAAACUGCAAUGAGUUACAGAUUGUGAAAAUGUCAGGAAAGGCCCUACUUGUUAUUGACCCCUUAAGCAAUGAGCAGAGAUACAGCAGGAGAAUCUUGAGAAACUGGAGGUAAUUAUUUAAAUGUUUUAGCUCAGUACACACAAGUGCUGUCAGGAAAGUCCCAGUGACUUUCUAUUUUAUGUGAGGCAUUGAGUUAUGAAAUGCAAAAUAUAAACUGUUUGCCUUUUCCUUUGCCUUUUCCAUACUGAACUAAUGCUAAACCCUGUAAACUUACACCUGGGACACACAGCCUGCGUGAGCAGUGCAUGUGCAUUGCGGAACCUCUUGCUUUUCAUUUCGGCGCCCAUGUUAACAGGUUAGAGCAGCCACGCAGCCCGUCUCACACGUGGCUGCUGCGUCAUCUAGAGAUCCGAGGUCUUGCCUAUUUUCUCUGCGUGACACGCGCGGUUCUCAGCAGAAAUAGACAGAAAACGAUCUGUUGAUAGUCAUAUUAACAUCAUAUCAGCAACAUAACACCUUUAACUGUGGUUUCAAUGUCUGCAUCUGUAGAAUAUGUCACAGACAUAAAGUGUCACCACUGCGGGUCAGCCUGCAUGGUGCACGCCAGGGCAGGGAGCCUCUCUG
Non-coding RNA from Epinephelus lanceolatus (giant grouper), 894 nucleotides. Lineage: Eukaryota; Metazoa; Chordata; Actinopteri; Perciformes; Serranidae. The record is from RefSeq and is a predicted model, not a curated record.